AUGUAAAGGAUUUAAUUAACAGCUUGUGCAAGGACAUUUCUGUAAAUUAUUUUAUUAUUAGUGAGGUUUAAUUACACAAAGGAAUAAAGGAUGGAGAUGAUCAUGCCAGCCCAUCGCAUUCCACGUUACUCGGAACAAAAUGUUUGAGAAAUAUUAAACAAAAACAAAUAAUUGAGCUUUCGCAGACAGCAUCAUGAUAUUGAUCAACACUCCAACGCCAGUUAUCAAAAGUUCUAUCAUUUUUAUUUUGCACAUGCGCCUCACAAAAAGUUUAAAAAUAAACCCAAUUCAAUAUUCCUUCACUUCGGCUUCUUUGUUCCUCCGAAACGUCCAUAUAUGACCAAAAAUGGGUCCAUAAUUAAAUUUUUGAUUUCUUAACGAUUCUGGUUUGGAAAUUAGAAAAUCAUAUCCAAAUUUGGAAAGCGAAAAUGAAAACUUCAGGCUUUGUUGUAGUAGGAACAUAAAAAGUCAAUAAAAGUGGGCAGUGAGCUGAAAGUAGAAGAUGCGAGAAUCAUCCCAUAUCAUAUCAUUAAUCCUGCAGUGGGGCCACGAAAAGCAAGAGAAUAAAAAUGCUGGUGUCGUAAAUCCUAUGUUGGACAGUGUGGUUAGAAUUGAAGUUAGGUAGUCGUAAUUUUUAAGGUGUAGUAUUAAAAUAUUUAAUAAAUAAAAAAUUAUUAUAAUUUAAAAAAUAUAUUAAUAUAAUUUUUUAUUUAUAUAAUAAAAAAUUUAUUAUAUAUUUAAUAAUUUUAUUAAAAUUAUUAUUUAAAAUUUAUAUUUACUGUAUAUUAUUAAUUUAUAUUUCAUAAUUAUAAUUUUUUUUUACAACAACUGUAAUUUAAAAAAUACAAUAUCUUAAUCCCAAACAAUACCUUAGUCCAACAAUAGAGCCAUGAAAAGUCGAAGAAGAAAUGCUGGUGGCGGAAAUACUGUGGUAAGAUUAUUAGUCCUGCAGUAAGGUCAUGAAUAAACUCAAAAAGAAAGGACAAGAGCCAUGAAUCAUAAAGCCCAUAACGCCUGUAGCAAAACCACAAGUCCAAGGUCUGAAUGCAAGAUCAUGGUCUAUGUAAAAUGUUAGGAAAUUGAGUUUCCUCCCAAGAUCAUUCUAAGUAAUUUGUCAAGUAAUAAAUUAAUAGAAAAAAUUAAAUAGAUAAUAUACCAAUUACACAACAUAAAAUUUACGUGAAAAACUUUAAAUCCGGAGAAAAAUCACUGCUGUUGUCACAAGACAACUAGAGAAAAAUAUUUACUAUGUGAAAAUUUAUUACAACCAAUCUCAGAAAUAAUUUUCUCUCACCCAAGCCCCAAAUACAUAAUCCAGAGAAAUAUCCCUUAAAAAAGUAAAUCCGUAAUACACAUACUGAGGAGCCAAAUGCUCAUUCAAUACAUCUACAUGCUUAAGAAUAUUUAUCUCCUCUCAAUUUGAAUUGCUUCUUUCCAUGGCCAACAUUUCAUGACCAUUUUCUUGAGCAAAGCCGAAACAUCUUGCUUCUCUAGGAUUUUGGAUUGCUUCUCUGGGAU
RNAcentral lists this long non-coding RNA (1518 nucleotides) under Citrus maxima (pomelo). RNAcentral's name for it is "long non-coding RNA (CMAX_LNC000299)". The record is from RNAcentral. Lineage: Eukaryota; Viridiplantae; Streptophyta; Magnoliopsida; Sapindales; Rutaceae.